AUCAAGCACUUUUUGUUUAGAUUUAUAAAAUUACUCCAAACAAUGAUUUCACUUAACUAAUGAUUUAUUUUACUUUGCCCCCUAUUACAUUCACCUCCAUCUUCCACUUCUCCGAUCAACUUCUGUGGUGCCUAACCUUCCAACAACCCUCAUCCCUCCUUUGCCCUUGCCUUGCCCCGCCUCCUAUUUUUGUCAGAUAUUGUCAUUGCCUAUCGCCAUGCAACACUUGUCGCUGCCUUUUUUCUCUGCUUUUCGACCCCUAAACCCUUGUAAAAAAUUGCUUUUACAUUUCUCUCACCUUCAGUCUACCUUGUGAAUGGAACUCAACUCAUUUGCCAAAUAGGUCCACUUGGCGGAUAUGGGUCAUAUUGGUUCAAGUCCAUGUGGAGUUGGGUAGUUUGGCCAACAUGGGUGCAAACUCAAGUCAAGUCAAGUGGUGAAUUGUAUCUAUUAUCUUUCUCGUAGUGGCUUGUAGACCUCAAAGAGUCAUUUGGAAAAGUAUAUGGUGCAAGGAGAGAGAAUGAACAGGAUUUCUCUACCAAGGAGAGAGAAAUUGUCAAGGGUUUGACAAAGAAGGGUUUUGCUUGCUUGAAGAGAAAGAAGAAGAAGGUAUUCUUGAGCUCUUGAAAAAGAAGUGUUGCAGAAUUUUGCAAGAGAUUUAUUCUCACUUUUGGGUCACUUUCUUAUAGUUGUUUUGCUACAUCUCACACUCUUGUUUUAGCCAAUCGAUCAAAGCUAUGGUUUGUGCGUUUGAUUAGGUUCUCCAAGCUUUGGGAGAAAUUCUUGGUGGCUUUUAGAGGUGAUUUGAUAGCAUGCUGUUGCGUGGGAGUUAAAUAGUUAACCAUGUAAAUCUUCAAAUGCUUGUUAUUUCUUUUUCAAUCUUGUAGUUCUCUCAAGUUUCGGGCAUAUGCUUGAGAGGUGAAAAUUGUAAUCCUUUUACUUUGAUUUUUAGUGGAUUGUUCUAGGAGUUGCCCUGUGAUUUUUUUUCUUCACAUAGAAGGGCUUUUCACGUUAUAUCUUGUGUGUGCUUUAUUUGUGUUUAUUUUGUUUCCAUUCCAUUUCUAUUUUUGUUAUCUAUUUGUUUCUUAUUUGAUUUACACACGUGGGAAGGCUUUUCUGCAUCUCUUCCCAACACCCUCGUCCUCACUCCUCCCUCAUUCAUGCUAAUUUCAUAGAUUUUUCGACUGUUUCUUGUUCGACAUCUGGGUGAGAUUUCUUCUCCCUAUCUCUAUCUCUCUUGGAAGGAGGAGGAUGGGAGCAGGGGGUGAAUGAGGUUGUCGAUUGUAGGGGAGCCAUCAUAUUCCAUUUUUUUUCUCUACUCGCUGAACUCUGAAGAUGCUUUCUCGUUAUUGGCCAGUCGUGGGGGUGAGGGAAGAUCAUGCCACAGGAGUUGGCCGAGAUUUUUCAGUUUUUUCCCCCUCUUUAAUCUCUGUGGAAUUAAGGAAAAGGAGGAAAGAGAGAGGAAGAAGAGGACAAAAGGGUAGAGAAUUGAACAGAGUCACAUACCCGUUCGUAGAGACAGAAGGUGGGAAAGCGACUAGUGAGGGAUCCACGUGAGAUGGAGGCGUAGAGAAUCCAACGACGCUGUCAAAUCAAGAUAAUUCAGCAUUCAUCUUGAACAGGGAAAUCUCUCGGCCUUAUUUUCCAUUUCAUGCUUUAGUAUGUAUUGGGCUUACUAACUUUUUACAACCAGAAUCUUUUUAGAUAUGUAGUGUUCUAUUUCAUGGUCGAUUCAGACUAUCUAUCAUGGAACCUCCACAACACAAUCACUAGCUGAAACAAAAGCCGUUGGAGUUUUAUAUGGACUACGUCAAUCGACUACUAUGCAUUGGGUUGUCAUUGAAGUUUAGUUCUCCUCAAAGGACCUACUUCAGCUUAUUCCAAUACCGUCUCAUUCAACUUGGCUGUACUGUUUUAGUAUGUAUUGGGUUUACUAACUUUUUACAACUAGAAUAUUUUUGGAUA
Molecule: long non-coding RNA, 1965 nt
Organism: Macadamia integrifolia
Lineage: Eukaryota; Viridiplantae; Streptophyta; Magnoliopsida; Proteales; Proteaceae
Exons: 3
Source: RefSeq, a predicted model, not a curated record